GUUUUUAUUUUUGUGUUAAUCCUAUAGGUAUGAUGGCGGUCUGUGAAGGAUUAAUAAGGUUUUACUUUUUUUUAGUUUACUUAGAUAGGCAAUGUUCUUUUACCUUGUUGUUUUAUUUUUUGUAUUAGAGGGGUUCCAGAUUAAUCGGCUAGGCCUCGUAAAUUUUGACUUUAAGUUAGUUGAUAUUGAGAAUUUAAGUGUUUUUUUUUUUUGUAAUCUUGGGUGUAAUUAUGGGAUUUUUUGUUAGUUUUUUCUUGAUGUUUGAUCAUAGUUAAGUGACUCGGGUUAGAAACCGAUUAAUCUAUUUUUAUUAGAGCAGAAGUAAAUUAAUAUUUAAACUGAACACAUAUUGGCAGGUUUUUGAUUUUUCUUUGGGGGUUGACUGUUAAACGAGAGUCCUCGUUGUUUGCUCUGGUUUUUGGCUUAUGUAUGUUUGUUUUUUUGGGUGUUGGGCAUUCAGAUUUUUAUUUUAUUUUUAUUGGUUGCAGAUAUAUAUCUAGUUUAUAUCACGAGUUUAGGUUGAGCCACAGUGUUAAAUUUUUGUUUUUUGCUUGAGAUCGGGGAUGUUUUUUUAGUAUUGUAAAAGAAAGUGAUUUAAUUUUUAUUAGUUUUAGUGAAUUUUACUUGGAAACGGUACAAAUCAUCCAUCAAUUGUCUAAAGGGAAGUAAGUUGUAGUAAAGUAGGGCAAGAGGAAUCUGGUCCUAGAGUUUAAA
RNAcentral lists this non-coding RNA (714 nucleotides) under Camallanus cotti. The record is from RNAcentral. Lineage: Eukaryota; Metazoa; Nematoda; Chromadorea; Rhabditida; Camallanidae.